RNAcentral lists this ribosomal RNA (394 nucleotides) under uncultured Lactobacillus sp. Its description in RNAcentral is "bacterial SSU rRNA". It matches the Rfam family "Bacterial small subunit ribosomal RNA", at positions 157 to 524 of the family's 1533-position model. The record is from RNAcentral. Lineage: Bacteria; Bacillati; Bacillota; Bacilli; Lactobacillales; Lactobacillaceae.
CAGAUGCUAAUACCGGAUAAAAGCUACUUCGCAUGAAAGAGUUUAAAAAGGGCGGCGUAAAGCUGUCGCUAAAAGGAUGGGACCUGCGAUGCAUUAGCUAGUUGGUAAGGGUAACGGGCUUUACCCAAGGCGAUGAUGCAUAGCCCGAGUUGAGAGACUGAUCGGGCCACAUUGGGACUGAGACACGGACCCAAAACUCCUACGGGGAGGCAGCAGUAGGGAAUCUUCCACAAUGGACGAAAGUCUAAUGGAGCAACGCCGCGUGAGUGAAGAAGGUUUUCGGAUCGUAAAAGCUCUGUUGUUGGUGAAGAAGGAUAGAGGUAGUAACUGGCCUUUAUUUGACGGUAAUCAACCAGAAAGUCACGGCUAACUACGUGCCAGCAGCCGCGGUAAU